Molecule: long non-coding RNA, 850 nt
Filed under: Numida meleagris (helmeted guineafowl)
Lineage: Eukaryota; Metazoa; Chordata; Aves; Galliformes; Numididae
Description: lncRNA (ENSNMEG00000015211.1)
Source: RNAcentral
AUGAUAAAUGAAACUCUCUUCAGUGCUUCUUUGAGGUCACAAACCUUAUACCCCCAGAAACUCAACACUGGACAGUUAUUCCUGACCAGUGCAUGGCUUCCAUAUGGCAGAGAAGGUAAAUUGGAGAAGGAAAUAGGGAGGCGAAGGGGACAAUGACAAUCAGAAACAACAGGAGAAGAUGAGGUACUGAGUUGUGGGAGUUAUGAGCCCGUGGUGGGUGGGAGUCUGACUAAAAGUCAGCCACUGAUCCAGAAACUAUAUCAUCAAGCAGGGAUUUCAUGCUUUUCUGAAGCUUAACGUAGAAACAACCCACUAUUUCCAUUGCUUUAACUCUUACUGCUAUAGAUUUUCUAAUUCCAGUCACUUCUUCAGGGUUUAUUUAUUCCUUUUGCUUUGUAAAAUGAAGAUGGGAUAUAUUUCCAGAACACUUUGUUUCUAAGCUAGCACGAGUAUCCCUGAGCAUACGUGUAUCUGGUUCUGAUGCAUAUCCUUAACUGUUUGAUAUAAUCACUGUUUAGUCAAAAUUAAAUAUGCUUUCUUGCACUGUUCUUAUUGUUCAGCACUGGCACCCUUAUAUCUUCCCCUCUUUUCAACUGUUUCCACUCAGACACCCAAAUCCCCCAGUCCUCUUUUUUUUUCUCCUCCAGUUCCACAUUUUUUAACAGAAGCUUGUCACUGAUCUUCCAACCACUGUAAAACUGUGUCUUAGAAAUGAAGGCAUUUAAACAGCCAUUUUCUUAGCAUGUUAUGUGAAAGAGCAGAAUAUAAAAGCUACAAUUCCAGAUUUGGGUCUGAUGCUGGGCUCCAGUAAAAUUCAUGAGGUACAGGAAAAGUACCUUGUGCACAUAUG